GGAAUUUUGCACAAUGGAGGAAACUCUGAUGCAGCGACGCCGCGUGAGUGAUGAAGAUCUUCGGAUUGUAAAACUCUGUCCUUAGUGAAGAUAAUGACAGUAACUAAGAAGCAAGCCCUGGCUAAAUACGUGCCAGCAGCCGCGGUAAUACGUAUGGGGCAAGCGUUGUCCGGAAUUAUUGGGCGUAAAGGGUACGUAGGCGGUUUAAUAAGUCCUAAUUAAAAGGCUAUGGCUCAACCAUAGUAUGGUUAGGAAACUGUUGAACUUGAGUAGAUGAGGGGAAAGUGGAAUUCCAUGUGUAGCGGUGAAAUGCGUAGAUAUAUGGAGGAACACCAAUGGCGAAGGCAACUUUCUGGAAUCAAACUGACGCUGAGGUACGAAGGCGUGGGGAGCAAACAGG
Molecule: ribosomal RNA, 400 nt
Filed under: Fusobacteriota bacterium
Lineage: Bacteria; Fusobacteriati; Fusobacteriota
Description: Fusobacteria bacterium partial 16S ribosomal RNA
Rfam family: Bacterial small subunit ribosomal RNA
Source: RNAcentral